UUUACAGUCAACAUUGUAUAAUCUGUCUGGCAGAUCAUGUAACAAACAUGAGAACAUCUGUACAGCAGCUCCAUCAUGCCACUUUACUGGUACAAAUGGUUUUCCAAUUAAACAUACACUGAGGGCUACAUCAUUUAAAUAUGUAUAGACUUAUGUCAGCUUGCCAUGAACAUGAACUCACGAACACACUCAUUAGUAUUCAAAAAGAGACACAAUCAGACAUCUGCCAUGUGAUUCGGCAACUCUGCGACACCAAUUACACCGACACGAAACUCUGAAAAGUUGUGGAGCUUUCACCCUCUUCUUAAUCACUUUCUGUCAAGGGCAUAAAAAAGGCAGCGGCAGCUUUUGUCUUGCUGUUUAAAUAAGUAAGCCAACGUGGCUGUAAGCCACCAGUGCGACCCAUCACUCAGUCGCUGCUAAAUUAGCUUUCCCACGUGUCAUGUUGAAGUUGCCGGAUUCCGUCUCAGCAGGAAGUCGCCCCGAAGCUCUUCCUGUCAGCCUCCAUAUCUCAGCCGAGGUGUCAGACGGCUCCGUGGGUGCGCUGAGGUUCCUGAGAGCGACUCUGCUAGAAAACAGAGAGGGCUACUCACAAAAAGCUGUCUGUUUUUCACUCGUCUUCUCUCCUGGCAUUCCUCUGAAACAAGAAGACCACUCUUUACAAGGGUCACCUGCCAAGGAAACAUUUUCGCUUUUCACUUUCAGGUGGAACAGGGACUUGUGUAUUUCUGUCUCGGAAUGACUCAGGAGAACGAUAUAGCUGUGAGAGCUCGACAAGAUGUGCUCGUGAUCCACCCUUUGAAGACUUUCAGGUUAUAUUCGUCCACAGCACAAAUUCAAAAU
Ctenopharyngodon idella (grass carp) is the source of this 843-nucleotide long non-coding RNA. RefSeq lists it as uncharacterized. The transcript is spliced from 3 exons. The record is from RefSeq and is a predicted model, not a curated record. Lineage: Eukaryota; Metazoa; Chordata; Actinopteri; Cypriniformes; Xenocyprididae.